AACGAACGCUGGCGGCAUGCCUAACACAUGCAAGUCGAACGAGACCUUCGGGUCUAGUGGCGCACGGGUGCGUAACGCGUGGGAACCUGCCCUUAGGUUCGGAAUAACUCCCCGAAAGGGGUGCUAAUACCGGAUAAUGUCUUCGGACCAAAGAUUUAUCGCCUUUGGAUGGGCCCGCGUUGGAUUAGCUAGUUGGUAGGGUAAAAGCCUACCAAGGCGACGAUCCAUAGCUGGUCUGAGAGGAUGAUCAGCCACACUGGGACUGAGACACGACCCAGACUCCUACGGGAGGCAGCAGUGGGGAAUAUUGGACAAUGGGCGAAAGCCUGAGCCAGCAAUGCCGCGUGAGUGAUGAAGGCCUUAGGGUUGUAAAGCUCUUUUACCCGGGAUGAUAAUGACAGUACCGGGAGAAUAAGCUCCGGCUAACUCCG
RNAcentral lists this ribosomal RNA (431 nucleotides) under uncultured bacterium. RNAcentral describes it as "partial 16S ribosomal RNA". It matches the Rfam family "Bacterial small subunit ribosomal RNA", at positions 29 to 505 of the family's 1533-position model. The record is from RNAcentral.